This 253-nucleotide ribosomal RNA is filed under the name uncultured bacterium. Its description in RNAcentral is "partial 16S ribosomal RNA". It matches the Rfam family "Bacterial small subunit ribosomal RNA", at positions 524 to 776 of the family's 1533-position model. The record is from RNAcentral.
UACGGGGGGGGCAAGCGUUGUUCGGAAUUACUGGGCGUAAAGGGCUCGUAGGCGGCCAACUAAGUCAGACGUGAAAUCCCCAGGCUCAACCUGGGAACUGCGUCUGAUACUGGAUGGCUUGAAUCCGGGAGAGGGAUGCAGAAUUCCAGGUGUAGCGGUGAAAUGCGUAGAGAUGCGGAGGAACACCGAUGGCGAAGGCAGCCCCCUGGGCUAACACUGACGCUGAGGCACGAAAGCGUGGGGAGCAAACAGG